AGGAAAUAGAUACCCGGGUAGUCCACGCCGUAAACGAUGGAUACUUGUUGUUGGAGGUAUUGACCCCUUCAGUGACGAAAGCUAAACGCGUUAAAGUAUCCCGCCUGGGGAGUACGGCCGCAAGGUUAAAACUCAAAGAAAUUGACGGGGGCCCGCACAAGCGGUGGAGCAUGUGGUUCAAUUCGAUGCAACGCGCAGAACCUUACCUGGGUUUGACAUGUAUUGGAAGGCUACCAGAGAUGGUGCCGCCCGCAAGGGCCGAUACACAGGUGCUGCAUGGCUGUCGUCAGCUCGUGUCGUGAGAUGUUGGGUUAAGUCCCGCAACGAGCGCAACCCCGUAUGUUUAGUUGCCAGCAUUCAGUUGGGCACUCUAGACAGACUGCCGACGUUAAGUCGGAGGAAGGUGGGGAUGACGUCAAGUCCUCAUGGCCUUUAUAUCCAGGGCUACACACGUGCUACAAUGGUUGGUACAAAGGGUAAGCAAGAGUGCGAACUGGAGCAAACCCCGAUAAAACCCGAAUCUAAGUUCGGAUCGAAGUCUGCAACUC
RNAcentral lists this ribosomal RNA (548 nucleotides) under uncultured bacterium. RNAcentral describes it as "bacterial SSU rRNA". It matches the Rfam family "Bacterial small subunit ribosomal RNA", at positions 774 to 1313 of the family's 1533-position model. The record is from RNAcentral.